Molecule: ribosomal RNA, 489 nt
Filed under: uncultured bacterium
Lineage: Bacteria
Description: bacterial SSU rRNA
Rfam family: Bacterial small subunit ribosomal RNA
Source: RNAcentral
GACGAACGCUGGCGGCGUGCUUAAUACAUGCAAGUCAACUGAACUUAGGAUAGCAAUAUUUUAAGGGAGGUGGCGCACGGGUGAGUAACACGUAGGUAAUCUGCCUUUAGGUCUGACAUAACCUACCGAAAGGUAGGCUAAAAUCAGAUGAUGCAGCGGCUCGACAUCGAGACAGUUGUUAAAUCUUCGGAGCCUAAAGAUGAGCCUGCGUCUGAUUAGGUAGUUGGCGGUGUAAUGGACCACCAAGCCUGCGAUCAGUAGCUGGUCUGAGAGGAUGAUCAGCCACACUGGAACUGAGACACGGUCCAGACUCCUACGGGAGGCAGCAGUAAGGAAUAUUGCUCAAUGGGAGAAAUCCUGAAGCAGCAACGCCGCGUGGAGGAUGAAAUACUUUUGUAUGUAAACUCCUGUAAGAAGGGAAAAUAUACAGUUAUUCUGUGUUGAUUGUACCUUCAGAGUAAGCCCCGGCUAACUACGUGCCAGCAGCCG